This 437-nucleotide ribosomal RNA is filed under the name uncultured Oscillospiraceae bacterium. Its description in RNAcentral is "partial 16S ribosomal RNA". It matches the Rfam family "Bacterial small subunit ribosomal RNA", at positions 341 to 792 of the family's 1533-position model. The record is from RNAcentral. Lineage: Bacteria; Bacillati; Bacillota; Clostridia; Eubacteriales; Oscillospiraceae.
ACGGAAGGCAGCAGUGGGGAAUAUUGGGCAAUGGGCGAAAGCCUGACCCAGCAACGCCGCGUGAAGGAAGGAGGUCUUCGGAUUGUAAACUUCUUUUAUGAGGGACGAGGGACGUGACGGUACCUCAUGAAUAAGCUACGGCUAACUACGUGCCAGCAGCCGCGGUAAUACGUAGGUAGCGAGCGUUAUCCGGAUUUACUGGGUAUAAAGGGCGCGUAGGCGGGGAAGCAAGUCAGGUGUGAAAUCUAUGGGCUUAACCCAUAAACUGCACUUGAAACUGUUUUUCUUGAGUGCUGGAGAGGUAGACGGAAUUCCUAGUGUAGCGGUGAAAUGCGUAGAUAUUAGGAAGAACACCAGUGGCGAAGGCGGUCUACUGGACAGUAACUGACGCUGGGGCGCGAAAGCGUGGGGAGCAAACAGGAUUAGAUACCCUGGUA